AUUUGAGUAGUUUAUUUAGAACAAUAAUUUGUGGAAUUAUAGGAAUAUAUUUAUAUAUCUUGAAUC
This 66-nucleotide transfer RNA is filed under the name Mecomma ambulans. RNAcentral describes it as "tRNA-His". Lineage: Eukaryota; Metazoa; Arthropoda; Insecta; Hemiptera; Miridae. The record is from RNAcentral.